Molecule: ribosomal RNA, 393 nt
Filed under: uncultured bacterium
Lineage: Bacteria
Description: partial 16S ribosomal RNA
Rfam family: Bacterial small subunit ribosomal RNA
Source: RNAcentral
AUACGUAGGUGGCAAGCGUUGUCCGGAAUUAUUGGGCGUAAAGCGCGCGCAGGUGGUUCCUUAAGUCUGAUGUGAAAUACCCGGGCUUAACCCGGGAAUGGCAUUCCAAACUGGAAGGCUAGAGUGCAGGAGAGGAAAGUGGAAUUCCCCGUGUAGCGGUGAAAUGCGUAGAGAUUGGGAGGAACACCAGUGGCGAAGGCGACUUUGUGAACUGUAACUGACGCUGAGGCAUGAAAGCGUGGGGAGCAAACAGGCUUAGAUCCCCUGGUAGUCCACGCCGUAAACGAUGAGUACUAGGUGUAGGGGAGCCAUUCUCUGUGCCGCAGUUAACACAUUAAGUACUCCGCCUGGGAAGUACGGUCGCAAGACUAAAACUCAAAUGAAUUGACGGGG